CUACGGAGGGUGCAAGCGUUACUCGGAAUCACUGGGCGUAAAGCGCGCGCAGGCGGCUAUUUAAGUUGGAUGUGAAAGCCUACGGCUCAACCGUAGAACUGCAUCCAAAACUAUUUAGCUAGAGUGUGGGAGAGGAAGAUGGAAUUAGUUGUGUAGGGGUAAAAUCCGUAGAGAUAACUAGGAAUACCAAAAGCGAAGGCAAUCUUCUGGACCACUACUGACGCUGAGGCGCGAAAGCGUGGGGAGCAAACAGGAUUAGAAACCCUAGUAGUCC
Molecule: ribosomal RNA, 274 nt
Filed under: uncultured bacterium
Lineage: Bacteria
Description: partial 16S ribosomal RNA
Rfam family: Bacterial small subunit ribosomal RNA
Source: RNAcentral